CUGAAGAGCAUCUACCAAUGUUGAUAUGUAAAAUAGAAAACCAAGGAAUAUCAGAAACCACCAUUGUAACAGUCUCAGGAAAUGUAAGUCACAAAAUAACAAUGAACUAUUUAAUUAGUUAUUCUGGUCCAAGUUAUAAUAAGGUUCAACAGCCAAACACAAGCUAACAUGAGAUCACAUAGAGACAUUAGAUUCCAAAUCAAAGAAUUUCAAGGUCCAGGGGGUGUAAAUCCACCCCAGACACACCUAGGAGAAAGGCAUUAAUAUUAAUGGUGAUGCACCAAUAGGCUGUGGGAAAGAGAAAAGCAGAGGAUUUUGAAGGAAUUUUGCAUAUGGAAAAAUGUAGGAGGUUAUUUUCUUCUUUUUUAUGAAAAGAAUUGUCAAGCAUCCAACCUAAAACCAAUUGGUAGUAGGUGGAGGGACCCAACUUUAAUACAAGACCACAGGUAGCCUAAUACUUGAUGGAUGUGGAAUCUUACUGCUACACACUUCCCCUAACGUGUAGCUUAUAGGGCCUAAGGAGCUAUGGUUCGAGGGUCAUCAUGAUGCAAUGAGCUAUGGUUCGAGGGUCAUCAUGAUGCAAUCAUGAGUAAUUGUUCAAUUUCAAGGAAUUUGUUGAUGUGGAUUAAGUUCAUGAGAUUUUCGACCUACAAGAGGAGUUUGCUGUAAUGAAGUGUCAGUUGCAAGCAUGGUGAUCAAAACUAGACCAGACCGAAUGGUUGAAUCAUGAACUAGUAGUCCAACCAGUACCAUAAAACCAACAAGGGUUCAACUGGUAAAAACCAAUCAAACCGGUUAAAAAACAAAUUGAACUAGAUUGAAGUAGUUUAAAUAUUUAAUUUUGAGGUUAUAAUUUAUAAAAUGGAAGUUUAUGUUUCCUCAUUAUCUAUUGUGUUUAUUAAUUUUUUUUUCCUAUUUUUAUUUUUUAUAAAUUUUCUAGAAUAUUUUGAAAUUUUUUAUUUUGUCAUGGUUGAACUGGGAAUAGAUGGUCAAGCCGGUUUGACCACCAGUCCGAUUACUACAACAUUGAUUGCAAGUGGAGUAAUUUUCAAUCGAUCCAAUAGUGAUCUAACAAAUUAUCUAGAUCUAGGUGAGAAUGGAUGCUUAACAAGAACUAUCAUGAUUCCUAGGCAGGGUUGUAUCAAGAUAUUUUGCAUCAUCCACUUCUAUUUGCAAGUACCAAUUGUCAUUGUCAAGUACAAAACACUUACCAAGAGCUCAUCAGCUAGCUCUGAUGACGAUGAAAAGAGCAGACCAUUUUUCUCAACCUUCACAGGCUCGUCAAUACUUCAGAAGUCAAACCAGUAGCAGAUAGUAAUAGACUUUAGCAUUAAAAGGUAUCGAAUUAUUAGCCAAUAAACCAUGAAUGAUAAGUGCACAAGUUUACGAAGAGUAGGAAACAGCGCAUACUGGAAGUCCACAACCAAACAUAUCCACCACCUACUAGCCAAUACAAGUUCAGGGAGUGAUAAAGGUUUAUCGCUGC
This 1486-nucleotide long non-coding RNA is filed under the name Gossypium barbadense (sea-island cotton). RNAcentral describes it as "long non-coding RNA (GBAR_LNC007848)". Lineage: Eukaryota; Viridiplantae; Streptophyta; Magnoliopsida; Malvales; Malvaceae. The record is from RNAcentral.